RNAcentral lists this long non-coding RNA (2481 nucleotides) under Homo sapiens (human). RNAcentral describes it as "HSALNT0387810". The record is from RNAcentral. Lineage: Eukaryota; Metazoa; Chordata; Mammalia; Primates; Hominidae.
CAAAAUAGCAGAACUCCUUAACAGCAAUUAACCGCAAAUGGAUUACACCUUCCAAUUAAAAGGCAGAGAUCGGCAGAAUGGAUUAUAAAAGGAUAACCAUUCCGGAAAACCCAGACUCAAUAAAAAAAUAAAAAUAAAGAGGAUAACUGGACAGUUCAACAAUAAUGGCUGGAGACUUCAGUGCCUUCACUUUCCAUCGUGGAUCUAACAACAGGAAGAAAACACACCGGGAAACAGAAGACCUGAAUAGCACUAACUGCUCCUGAGAUGCCUCCAGACCACUCCACCUGGUGACAGAAAAACAGACUUUCCUCCCAGUGCACAGGAUUCUUCUCCAAAAAGACUCUAUGUUAGGCCACAGAUCACACGUUGGAGAAUUAAAACGGACGGCAAUAAUACAAAGCGUGCUCUCCAACCACAGCAGAAUGAAGUUAGGAAUCAGUAACAGGAGAGAAUUUGGAAAAAUCAAAAACAUGAAAAUUAAGUACCACACUCUUAAAUAACCAAUCAGUCAAGAAAGAGAUCACGAGGGAGGCGGGCACGUUGGCUCACGCCUGUGAUCCCAGCAGUCUGGGGGGCCGAGGCAGGAGGAUCACUUGAGUCCAGGAGUUCGAGACCAGCCUGGGCAACACAGCAAGACCCAGUCUCUACAGAAAAUACAAAAAAUAGCCGGGGCGUGGUGGUGAUACGAGAGGGGGGCAGGGAAGUGCUGGGUAGAGAAAGGAGGGUCCCCGGCCUCGGUGAGGACAGGCUCUCCUGCUCUCCUGCCCAAAUGUUGCAUUUUCCAAGACCACCCUGGCCCGCCAUGCCCCCAUCCUGGUACUAUAAAAACCCAAGACCCUAGCAGGCCGACAAGGCAGCCGGACGUGGAGAGGAGCAGAUCAGUGGAAGAAGACGCCAGCGGCUGCUCGGCAGGAAGACGGCGAGGGAGCAGCAGCCACCGGCGGCGGGACCAGGCGGGGUUUGGCCGGUUGGAGGAGAGCCGGGGCCGCCGAGCAGCCCGCGUCCAGGGCAGAACCGUCUCCCUUCCGGCUCCCCCAGCGGCUGAGAGCUCCUUCCAGGCAAUACGACCCUGGGCGCAUUCUCCAGGCCACGCGUGAUCAGAUUCUGCCGGUACACCGAAGCAGGAACCCGGGAUACGGAAAGCGUCGGUCCUUGCGGCGAGGCGGGGGUCCCAGCACAAACCACCCCCAGACGGCAAACCAGCCGUGCAGCCUGGAACCCACGCCCACCGGGGCCUCAGGCGCCGCGAGACGCUGCCGCGGGGUCGGAGCCCCGCAGCCCGCCCGUCCCCGGAGGCGGCCACCCCCCACCACACCCCCGCGAGGCGCGCGAGGGGCUCUGCGGCUUCUGCGCUCACGCCCGUCGUCCCAGCUGCUCCGUGAGCCCGAGCGCGGGCGAGGCCUGAGUCACACUGAGUCACUGCGCCCCAGCGCGGGCGACGAGAGCCCGUCCCAACAGCAACGACGAGAGGGCGAGGAAGGGGAGGGCGGUGAGGGCACCCGGGACCUCGUGGUGUAUUUUGACGACGGAAUGCGCUUUCGGAGGCGACAGUGGUGACGACGCAGAUGAGGUGACGUGCGCUGGAAGCGCCCCGAGCGCCACCCUGGGCCCGCACACGACUCGGUUUUGCACAGAGCGCGCCUGCCCUGCUGUCUGGCUUGGCGGACAACGAACCAUUUGGUCAGGGCCCAGGCGACCUGUGUGGUCCCGGGGAGGGGCAUGGAGAUGGUGACAGGGUAUCUUCUCCACGCCUCCCUCCCUUCCCCCACUGCCACCUCCGGUUUCCUGGGCAUGGGGCGAAGGGCGACAUCCGAGUCACUGAAGCAGGAAGCAGAGUUGGAAGAGGAGCCGGGAUGGAGAGGCUGGCGUGAGCACAGUGACCAGGACUGAUGCCAGUUGAGACUGGUUAGAGCCACGACAACUGACAAAAGCAGCCAAGGAAAGGAAGACAGCGGGAAGUUCACCGCCCAUUUCCAGAAGACAUGAAUAUUCUUCCCCUCGCUGUUCACCUCCAGCCCCUUCAGUACAGAAACCCUACAUUUAGCCCCUGCCCGCUCACCUGUUGAGAAGUUGAACUGUGGGCCAAGCUCCUGCUUCUCAGUCCGUGGUCACUGAAUAAAGUCGGCUUCGGUUUCAUGUAUCGGCUUCGUGACACCAAACAGGGAAGGACCCCAUCUUUUGGGCAACCGGCUUUCUCAGUAGCAUGUGGACAAGUCUGAGAGCUAAGGACUCCCGGGAAGACCCACUCACAGGAGGUCUCCAUGCUCUUGUGAAUUUUACUUCCUGGAAUGCUGCCAGGUUCUCACAGCGAAAAUCAGAGAAAACCCCCUCAGGGCUCUAGCAGAGACAGGGGAGAAGGGACCAUUUUGAAAUACGCCAGAGUGCUCUGCCCUCUUUAGGAAAAGAAUGGGUUCAUGUCCUUCGCAGGGACAGGGAUGAAGCUGGAAACCAUCAUUCUCAGCAAACCAACACAGGAAC